Molecule: long non-coding RNA, 1264 nt
Organism: Drosophila ananassae
Lineage: Eukaryota; Metazoa; Arthropoda; Insecta; Diptera; Drosophilidae
Exons: 2
Source: RefSeq, a predicted model, not a curated record
UCAUCAUUAUAAGCAUAUUAAUUCAUGCUUAGUUUUCUGAUGCCAUCAGAGCUGUUCACAUCGGAUUUAAGUGGAGGCAUAAAUAUGAAAAAAUUCAUACUUUUGCUGUUAGUGAUAUUUUUCGGCAACGUCAGCACUACGGGCGCACAUCAAAAACGUAGAGAGGAAUAUGAAAGAGUUUCUCAAGAAAUAGAACAGGAAAUUAUAGCCAAGGACGUCGAAUUAGAGAAACUAGAUUUCCAAAUAAAAGAAACAGAAGCAAAUAUGAAUAAUAAUUUUAUGUCCAUGAUUGAUAAAGUUCUAAAUGAAGAUUCUACAAAAAUUUCAGAUCAGGAAGAAAAACUAAAACAACUAGAGGCGUUAAAAUCAGAAAAUAUAAGUCUUAAACACAAAUGUGACAAUUUAGAAUCAAUUCUAGGGGCGGAAGAAAAUGAAAAACAAAAAUUAAAUGAUCAUAUUAAAAGACUUGAGAAUGAUAAAAAAAUAAUAAUACAAAACUAUGAGAAUAUCGAAAACAGUAGGCGCCAAUACCUUUUUUGGUACUCAUAGUUAAAUGUAUUAAAAUUUUAUCUAAAACUCUGCUACAAGUCGAAACAUCAAUCUCAGCAGCAAUGAAAACCGAUCCACAAUCAAGAAGAUGCCCAUACAGGAACGGACAGUCCCAGGUUCCACCCAAUUAAAGGCAGCGGCCAUAUGGAUGAAUGGAAAGCAAAAUAACAUAAAUGAUACGCUCGCACUCUAGACCAUAAAAGCCACACACAUACAACGCAAUCCCCGGGACCCCUGGAUUAAAUCAAGAUGAUACCAUCAUAUCCGACCAGAAAAAGCCACUUGGUGACACUGACGUGACGUGUGGUCGGCUCAGUGAGGAAUCUUGGGCAGAGCUGGGAAUCUGGAUCUGUAUCGAAAUGGGAGUCAGACUCAAAACUCCAUGGCUCUGAGUUAUGAAACACUUUCAGCAUUCGAAAGCCGGGGGCUGUGUGGAGAAAACUCCGAGCUGAGAGGAAAAAGUCGUGCAAUAAAUAAAACACUUUAAAAGUGCACUUAAGAUAACAACAAAGGCCAAACAACUGGGAAGUCAAAAAACGAGACCCAAGAAGUGUGAGAUGAGAUGCGUUAUGUACUCUGUAUAAUAUAAUAUGUGGGUCAACUAAAAGCAAACUAGUUGUCUUGGCGUUUUCAUAGGGAUGGAUGGAUAUUCCAGAAAAAAGACAUCAACCACCAGUUUCAAUGCCAGACAGAAUCAAUAAAUUGCAGAAAAUAC